Non-coding RNA from Flavobacteria bacterium GWA2_35_26, 119 nucleotides. Lineage: Bacteria; Pseudomonadati; Bacteroidota; Flavobacteriia. The record is from Rfam.
UGUCUUAACAUAAAAAAAUUAUGAUAACAAAUACAAACAAUACUUGGUGGUGGAACAAUUUACGUCAGUCGUCGUGAACAAAGCUCCUAUAGUAUUCUAUAAAAUAUAAAAGGCUUGUC